Non-coding RNA from Rhinopithecus roxellana (golden snub-nosed monkey), 664 nucleotides. NCBI's taxonomy places the organism in Eukaryota, Metazoa, Chordata, Mammalia, Primates, Cercopithecidae. The record is from the annotation of a RefSeq genome assembly.
ACAGAGCAAAACAACUCCUCCAAUGUUGAUGAGCCUGCUCCUGGGAUUUGGAAACUUGCUGUUCACUGGUGCAUUUAUUUUGGAUUUGACCAUCUGGGGAAGAGGUGUGGCCUCUCCUGGCCUCUCCCUCCCUGGGGCCCAGGCAAGGAGAAUGAGGUCUCAGAAUGACUCCCUUGAGAGUCCUGUUCCCCUUUCAUCAACACACAGACCCAGAAGACCCCUCCGUCAUGCAGCAUCUGCCAUGAGCAUCGGCAUCCUGUGCUGUGCAGCCUUUUGUCUCCUGUGGGCAGGUCCAGUGAAUGCUGGUGUCACUCAGACCCCAAAAUUCCAGGUCCUGAAAACAGGACAGAGCAUGAUACUGCAGUGUGCCCAGGAUAUGAACCAUGACUACAUGUACUGGUAUCGACAAGACCCAGGCAUGGGGCUGAGGCUGAUUCAUUACUCAGUUGGUGCUGGUAUCACUGACAAAGGAGAAGUUUCCAAUGGCUACAGCGUCUCUAGAUCAAACACAGAGGAUUUCCCACUCAGGCUGGAGUCGGCUGCUCCCUCACAGACAUCUGUGUACUUCUGUGCCAGCAGUUACUCACAGCGCUACAAGGCUGCCUCCUAUCUGCACAUAAAGCCAGGCAGGCUCUGCCCUCCUUCCUCACCCAAGACUCAGUGA